GGCGGGUUUCCCGAGCGGCCAAAGGGAACUGACUGUAAAUCAGUCGCUGUUAUGCUUCGCAGGUUCGAAUCCUGCACCCGCCA
RNAcentral lists this transfer RNA (83 nucleotides) under Ancrocorticia populi. It matches the Rfam family "tRNA". Rfam says of the family: Transfer RNA (tRNA) molecules are approximately 80 nucleotides in length. The record is from Rfam by way of RNAcentral. RNAcentral also lists the same sequence under 1 other name. Lineage: Bacteria; Bacillati; Actinomycetota; Actinomycetes; Actinomycetales; Actinomycetaceae.